GACGAACGCUGGCGGCGUGCUUAACACAUGCAAGUCGAACGGCAAGACCCUGCUUUUGUGGUGUGCUCGAGUGGCGAACGGGUGAGUAACACAUGAGUACCCUUCCCUUGACUUUGGGAUAACUUCCGGAAACUGGGGCUAAUACCGGAUCGGAGCUCCUGCUGCAUGGUGGGGGUUGGAAAGUUUGGGCGGUUGGGGAUGGUUUCGCGGCUUAUCAGCUUGUUGGUGGGGUAGUGGCUUAACAAGGCUUUGACGGGUAGCCGGCCUGAGUGGGUGAACGGCCACAUUGGGACUGAGAUACGGCCCAGACUGCUACGUGAGGCAGCAGUGGGGAAUAUUGCACAAUGGGCGGGAGCGUGAUGCAGCAACGCCGCGUGCGGGAUGACGGCCUGCGGGUUGUAAACCGCUUUCGCCUGUUACGAAGGGUGAGUGACGGUAAUGGGUAAAGAAGCACCGGCUAACUACGUG
Molecule: ribosomal RNA, 468 nt
Filed under: uncultured bacterium
Lineage: Bacteria
Description: partial 16S ribosomal RNA
Rfam family: Bacterial small subunit ribosomal RNA
Source: RNAcentral